RNAcentral lists this ribosomal RNA (2663 nucleotides) under Escherichia coli. RNAcentral describes it as "partial 23S ribosomal RNA". It matches the Rfam family "Bacterial large subunit ribosomal RNA". The record is from RNAcentral. Lineage: Bacteria; Pseudomonadati; Pseudomonadota; Gammaproteobacteria; Enterobacterales; Enterobacteriaceae.
GAGCGAACGGGGAGGAGCCCAGAGCCUGAAUCAGUGUGUGUGUUAGUGGAAGCGUCUGGAAAGGCGCGCGAUACAGGGUGACAGCCCCGUACACAAAAAUGCACAUGCUGUGAGCUCGAUGAGUAGGGCGGGACACGUGGUAUCCUGUCUGAAUAUGGGGGGACCAUCCUCCAAGGCUAAAUACUCCUGACUGACCGAUAGUGAACCAGUACCGUGAGGGAAAGGCGAAAAGAACCCCGGCGAGGGGAGUGAAAAAGAACCUGAAACCGUGUACGUACAAGCAGUGGGAGCACAGAGCAAUCUGUGUGACUGCGUACCUUUUGUAUAAUGGGUCAGCGACUUAUAUUCUGUAGCAAGGUUAACCGAAUAGGGGAGCCGAAGGGAAACCGAGUCUUAACUGGGCGUUAAGUUGCAGGGUAUAGACCCGAAACCCGGUGAUCUAGCCAUGGGCAGGUUGAAGGUUGGGUAACACUAACUGGAGGACCGAACCGACUAAUGUUGAAAAAUUAGCGGAUGACUUGUGGCUGGGGGUGAAAGGCCAAUCAAACCGGGAGAUAGCUGGUUCUCCCCGAAAGCUAUUUAGGUAGCGCCUCGUGAAUUCAUCUCCGGGGGUAGAGCACUGUUUCGGCAAGGGGGUCAUCCCGACUUACCAACCCGAUGCAAACUGCGAAUACCGGAGAAUGUUAUCACGGGAGACACACGGCGGGUGCUAACGUCCGUCGUGAAGAGGGAAACAACCCAGACCGCCAGCUAAGGUCCCAAAGUCAUGGUUAAGUGGGAAACGAUGUGGGAAGGCCCAGACAGCCAGGAUGUUGGCUUAGAAGCAGCCAUCAUUUAAAGAAAGCGUAAUAGCUCACUGGUCGAGUCGGCCUGCGCGGAAGAUGUAACGGGGCUAAACCAUGCACCGAAGCUGCGGCAGCGACACUAUGUGUUGUUGGGUAGGGGAGCGUUCUGUAAGCCUGUGAAGGUGUGCUGUGAGGCAUGCUGGAGGUAUCAGAAGUGCGAAUGCUGACAUAAGUAACGAUAAAGCGGGUGAAAAGCCCGCUCGCCGGAAGACCAAGGGUUCCUGUCCAACGUUAAUCGGGGCAGGGUGAGUCGACCCCUAAGGCGAGGCCGAAAGGCGUAGUCGAUGGGAAACAGGUUAAUAUUCCUGUACUUGGUGUUACUGCGAAGGGGGGACGGAGAAGGCUAUGUUGGCCGGGCGACGGUUGUCCCGGUUUAAGCGUGUAGGCUGGUUUUCCAGGCAAAUCCGGAAAAUCAAGGCUGAGGCGUGAUGACGAGGCACUACGGUGCUGAAGCAACAAAUGCCCUGCUUCCAGGAAAAGCCUCUAAGCAUCAGGUAACAUCAAAUCGUACCCCAAACCGACACAGGUGGUCAGGUAGAGAAUACCAAGGCGCUUGAGAGAACUCGGGUGAAGGAACUAGGCAAAAUGGUGCCGUAACUUCGGGAGAAGGCACGCUGAUAUGUAGGUGAAGCGACUUGCUCGUGGAGCUGAAAUCAGUCGAAGAUACCAGCUGGCUGCAACUGUUUAUUAAAAACACAGCACUGUGCAAACACGAAAGUGGACGUAUACGGUGUGACGCCUGCCCGGUGCCGGAAGGUUAAUUGAUGGGGUUAGCGCAAGCGAAGCUCUUGAUCGAAGCCCCGGUAAACGGCGGCCGUAACUAUAACGGUCCUAAGGUAGCGAAAUUCCUUGUCGGGUAAGUUCCGACCUGCACGAAUGGCGUAAUGAUGGCCAGGCUGUCUCCACCCGAGACUCAGUGAAAUUGAACUCGCUGUGAAGAUGCAGUGUACCCGCGGCAAGACGGAAAGACCCCGUGAACCUUUACUAUAGCUUGACACUGAACAUUGAGCCUUGAUGUGUAGGAUAGGUGGGAGGCUUGGAAGUGUGGACGCCAGUCUGCAUGGAGCCGACCUUGAAAUACCACCCUUUAAUGUUUGAUGUUCUAACGUUGACCCGUAAUCCGGGUUGCGGACAGUGUCUGGUGGGUAGUUUGACUGGGGCGGUCUCCUCCUAAAGAGUAACGGAGGAGCACGAAGGUUGGCUAAUCCUGGUCGGACAUCAGGAGGUUAGUGCAAUGGCAUAAGCCAGCUUGACUGCGAGCGUGACGGCGCGAGCAGGUGCGAAAGCAGGUCAUAGUGAUCCGGUGGUUCUGAAUGGAAGGGCCAUCGCUCAACGGAUAAAAGGUACUCCGGGGAUAACAGGCUGAUACCGCCCAAGAGUUCAUAUCGACGGCGGUGUUUGGCACCUCGAUGUCGGCUCAUCACAUCCUGGGGCUGAAGUAGGUCCCAAGGGUAUGGCUGUUCGCCAUUUAAAGUGGUACGCGAGCUGGGUUUAGAACGUCGUGAGACAGUUCGGUCCCUAUCUGCCGUGGGCGCUGGAGAACUGAGGGGGGCUGCUCCUAGUACGAGAGGACCGGAGUGGACGCAUCACUGGUGUUCGGGUUGUCAUGCCAAUGGCACUGCCCGGUAGCUAAAUGCGGAAGAGAUAAGUGCUGAAAGCAUCUAAGCACGAAACUUGCCCCGAGAUGAGUUCUCCCUGACUCCUUGAGAGUCCUGAAGGAACGUUGAAGACGACGACGUUGAUAGGCCGGGUGUGUAAGCGCAGCGAUGCGUUGAGCUAACCGGUACUAAUGAACCGUGAGGCUUAACCUUACAACGC